UAAUACGUAGGUGGCGAGCGUUAUCCGGAAUUAUUGGGCGUAAAGCGCCCGCAGGCGGCUGUUCAAGUCUGACGUGAAAUCGCUCGGCUUAACUGGGCGGGGUCGUUGGAAACUGAAUAGCUUGAGGCAAGGAGAGGGGCGUGGAAUUCCCGGUGUAGUGGUGGAAUGCGUAGAUAUCGGGAGGAACAUCAGUGGCGCAAGCGGCGCCCUGGCCUUAGCCUGACGCUCAGGGGCGAAAGCGUGGGGAGCGAACGGGAUUAGAUACCCCGGUAGUCCACGCCGUAAACGAUGAACACUAGGUGUGGGUGGGUUCAAAACCAUCUGUGCCGCAGCCAACGCGUUAAGUGUUCCGCCUGGGGAGUACGGCCGCAAGGCU
This 376-nucleotide ribosomal RNA is filed under the name uncultured bacterium. RNAcentral's name for it is "bacterial SSU rRNA". It matches the Rfam family "Bacterial small subunit ribosomal RNA", at positions 521 to 895 of the family's 1533-position model. The record is from RNAcentral.